This 30-nucleotide non-coding RNA is filed under the name Rattus norvegicus (Norway rat). Lineage: Eukaryota; Metazoa; Chordata; Mammalia; Rodentia; Muridae. The record is from RNAcentral.
UGACAUGUCAUAUAUUAUAGCUUGCAAGUC